Molecule: ribosomal RNA, 429 nt
Filed under: Bacteroidota bacterium
Lineage: Bacteria; Pseudomonadati; Bacteroidota
Description: Bacteroidetes bacterium partial 16S ribosomal RNA
Rfam family: Bacterial small subunit ribosomal RNA
Source: RNAcentral
UAGGGAAUCUUCCGCAAUGGACGCAAGUCUGACGGAGCAACGCCGCGUGAGUGAAGAAGGAUUUCGGUUCGUAAAACUCUGUUGUUAGAGAAGAACAGCGCAUAGAGUAACUGUUAUGCGUGUGACGGUAUCUAACCAGAAAGCCACGGCUAACUACGUGCCAGCAGCCGCGGUAAUACGUAGGUGGCAAGCGUUGUCCGGAUUUAUUGGGCGUAAAGCGAGCGCAGGCGGUUAGAAAAGUCUGAUGUGAAAGCCCCCGGCUCAACCGGGGAGGGUCAUUGGAAACUGGUUGACUUGAGUGCGGAAGAGGAGAGUGGAAUUCCAUGUGUAACGGUGAAAUGCGUAGAUAUAUGGAGGACCACCAGUGGCGAAGGCGACUCUCUGGUCUGUAACUGACGCUGAGGUUCGAAAGCGUGGGUAGCAAACAGG